UCACACUACACGGCAGAGCUUGAUACU
Molecule: unclassified non-coding RNA, 27 nt
Filed under: Mus musculus (house mouse)
Lineage: Eukaryota; Metazoa; Chordata; Mammalia; Rodentia; Muridae
Description: oocyte_clustered_small_RNA6380
Source: RNAcentral